Anopheles maculatus is the source of this 68-nucleotide non-coding RNA. The record is from Rfam. Lineage: Eukaryota; Metazoa; Arthropoda; Insecta; Diptera; Culicidae.
GAUGUUAAGUAGGCACUUGCAGGCAAAGUGACAUUCCGAUGGUUGACUGCUUUUUCCUACUUUACAUU